CAUUGCAGGAGUAACAAUUCUAAGAGCAAUAUUUUGGAUAACAUCAAGCUUUUUAAUAAUAUAGGACUAAUAUUCAUAUAUCCCAGACAACUAUAAUCAAAAUGACUACAUACUAAGCUUUUAUAUAAUAAACAAAGAAUUUUUGGAUCAGAACCCCAAAAAGUUCCUGCUAAGGACCGCAAAAUAUUGAUACCUUUCAAAGCUCUCCUACAAAUAUUGUCAAUGUGUUGGGUAAAUUUUAAUUUAGUGGCAAAAAUUACACCAAGAAACAUUUUUUUGCUAUUUUGAGGGAUUAAUUUAUUGUUAUACUUAACAUUUACAUUAUUUAUUUAGUAUCAAUACCAUAAGCUAAAACUGAACUUUUACUACUAUUUAUAUUUAAUUUAAGUAUCUCAGUAUAAUAGGAGUUAAGUUGACAUAAAGCUGAAUUAACUUUUGCUUGAGUAACCUGUAAAUUACUGCCUACACUAUAUUAUAUUAAGAUGUCAUCAGCAAAUUGUAAUAUUUUCACAGAUUCAGUCACAUAUCUAUUAUAUAUUUGUGAAGUAUAAAGGUUAUACAGGAUUAGAGAUAAAGAAGACCCUUGCAUCAACCCUUUGAAUGCUAAUUUUGGACCAUGAAAAACAUUAUUGUAUUUAAUAUAUAAAAAACUACCAUAAUACGUAUGGAAAAUCCAUUUUAAAAGCUUUCCUGGGAAGCCCAAAGAAUAUAGCACCCUAAUUAAUUGGUGAAGAUCUACAUUAUCAUAUGCCCCCUGAACAUCAAGGAAAACACAAAUUGCAGUAGAACCUGAUAACAAACACUUCUUCAUAUCAGUCAGCCUCGGCACAAGUAUCAUUCCAGCAAGGAGCUGGAGGAGCAGACUUUUUACUAGAAGAUUUAUGCUUUAACAAUGGAACACAGUUUUCUUUUAAACUAAGUAGUAAUUUAGAAAAUUCAUCAUAUUGAACUAAAGUAUCAAUUGUUGAAGGAGAAAAUUUAUCAAAUAUAUCUUUGGAUUUGUCAUUGUACAUA
This is a long non-coding RNA of Pieris napi, 1014 nucleotides long. RefSeq lists it as uncharacterized. Lineage: Eukaryota; Metazoa; Arthropoda; Insecta; Lepidoptera; Pieridae. The record is from RefSeq and is a predicted model, not a curated record. The transcript is spliced from 2 exons.